CUGAACCAGACAAUGGGAUUGACUCCAUACCACUCACUGGUCCAGUAUCAAGUUCAAGGUGUGGUAUAGCUGAACCAGACAAUGUGAUGGACUCCAUACCACUCACUGUUCCAGUAUCAAGUUCAAGGUGUGUAUAGCUGAACCAGACAAUGGGAUUGACUCCAUACCACUCACUGGUCCAGUAUCAAGAUCAAGGUGUGGUAUAGCUGAACCAGACAAUAUGAUUAACUCCAUACCACUCACUGGUCCAGUAUCAAGAUCAAGGUGUGGUAAAGCUGAACCAGACAAUGGGAUUGACUCCAUACCACUCACUGGUCCAGUAUCAAGUUCAAGGUAUAGUAUAGCUGAACCAGACAAUGGGAUUGACUCCAUACCACUCACUGGUCCAGUAUCAAGUUCAAGUUAAACCUGUUAUAUGAGGCCAUCAAAGGGACUGGCAGAAAUUGGCGGCUUAAGACAGGUGGCUGCUAAAACCAGGCUUACCCGAAAAUCACAACCAAGUUUUCAUACAAAAAUAAGCAAUAAGCCCAGGGAGCCGACACAUACACACCGACUCAAAGUAGGGGAUUGUGGGCUUAUUACCAGGCAUGGGCUUAUUGCUGGAUUAAUAAGUAAUGGUGAGUACUUCAGCUGGCGUAUCUCCUGGGAAAUAUACUGUCCAGUAUGCUGAAAAGCAGAUGCAACAUAGAAAACAAAUGCGAGCUAGAGGUUAGCAACCAUCUACAAAACACAGACGUUUGAUAUUGAAGCAGGAGCGAGUCAUUACUCAAGGAGCUCAUGAGGCUUUAGAGGGAGUCUCGUACCAAUCUGGCGUUGGUCAUGAAGCCAAUGUUGACAUUGAGAAGUUUACCUGAUGCUGUUCCACGUGGUCAUUUCAAAGCUGUCAAACUGACAUCAAGUGAAGAACCUACAUUUAUAUCAUUUGACUUGGAAACAGCUGAUCUGAUUCGUGGGAGACUGAUGCCCCAUCCUACACAGAUAGCAGCGGUUGACCUUCAAUCUGGCA
This is a long non-coding RNA of Mizuhopecten yessoensis (Yesso scallop), 1006 nucleotides long. RefSeq lists it as uncharacterized. Lineage: Eukaryota; Metazoa; Mollusca; Bivalvia; Pectinida; Pectinidae. The transcript has 5 exons. The record is from RefSeq and is a predicted model, not a curated record.